This 253-nucleotide ribosomal RNA is filed under the name uncultured bacterium. RNAcentral describes it as "partial 16S ribosomal RNA". It matches the Rfam family "Bacterial small subunit ribosomal RNA", at positions 524 to 776 of the family's 1533-position model. The record is from RNAcentral.
UACAGGGGGUGCAACCGUUGCUCGGAAUUAUUGGGCGUAAAGCGCGCGUAGGCGGCUACUUAAGUCGGAUGUGAAAGCCCUUGGCUCAACUGAGGAAGUGCACCCGAAACUGAGUGGCUUGAGUACUAAAGAGGGUCGCGGAAUUCCCGGUGUAGCGGUGAAAUGCGCAGAUAUCAGGAGGAACACCAAUUGCGAAGGCAGCUCGCUGGGACGUUACUGACGCUGAGACGCGAAAGCGUGGGGAGCAAACAGG